RNA transcript from Phoenix dactylifera (date palm), 2600 nucleotides. It is a transcript of the gene named putative sugar phosphate/phosphate translocator At1g06470, with no coding region annotated. The record is from RefSeq and is a predicted model, not a curated record. Lineage: Eukaryota; Viridiplantae; Streptophyta; Magnoliopsida; Arecales; Arecaceae.
AAGUAUCUUCUCCAUCAGGCGCAGACCUGGCAGUUCCAUUCCCGGAAUGGGGCUGCGGAACAUCAGAGCACAGAAGGGGCAUGAAUCGACGAAACCGCGGACCGGUAGAUACGCUUCCGUCCCUCCGAAUGUAUCGCCGAAUUGUCGUCUUCCGCAGCACCGAGUCGCAGCCCUCUCGUUGACUCACCACGGCCUAAGAACGUGAGAACGCCACCACGCCGACACCACCAGCGCCAAAAGAAGCGGAAAAAAAGAAGAAAGAAUCUCAGAUCCGAACUCCCUCAACUUUCUCAUUCGCUUCACCCAAUCUACACCUCCCUUUUCUCCCAAAUUUAAACCACCUUAGCGGCAGAGAUCUGAUCUCAUCCUUCCCGAUCUCUUUCUUGAAUCCGUUUUUGUCGAAGUUAGAUUCAACCAAAAGAUGGUUCUUGGGAGGAGGUUUUUAAGGCAAGAAUGAUGUCCUAGAGUUCAGAAUAAGAGGGGAAUUAGAUGGGAGAAAGCAAAUUAGGACCAGCGAAAGGUAUGGGAGAAGAAGAAGAAGAAGAAGAAGAAGGGGAGACAACAGCGGCGGCGGAAACCAAGAGCGAUGAGGUUGCGAGCAAAAACGACAGGCCAGUGCUCCGGAGGGAGCCGUCCUUCUCGCGGUGGUGCAAAGAGGACGCGAUCGAUGGAUCUUCCGAGUCCACCAUCGCAGAAGAUUCUGACCAGCCACUGCUCCAAAGAGGCGGGCAGCAAAGCAUGAAUCAAAGCAGAUCGGCUCAUACCGGGGCGAAUGGAAACGGGAUGAAUUACUCUCCUUUCGAUAUCGAGAAUGGGAUCCAUGCUACCAAUUCAAGAACGAAGCUGGAAACACUACAAGUCUCUGCGCAGAGCCCCCUCUCUGCAGCCAAUAUCAUCAAGGCUUUGUUUUGUAUACUGGUUUGGUACACCUUCAGUACCUGUUUGACGCUGUAUAAUAAGACAUUGCUUGGGGAACAUAUGGGGAAGUUCCCGGCUCCACUAUUGAUGAAUACCGUUCACUUCACAAUGCAAGCUGUUUUGUCGAAGGCUAUUUUAUAUUUCCAGUCCCGGGGUUCUGAAAGCAGAGGCCCUGCGAUGACAUGGAGGGAUUACUUCAUCAGAGUUGUGCCAACUGCUAUUGGAACUGCAUUGGAUGUAAACCUGAGCAAUAUUUCUCUUGUUUUCAUAUCUGUGACAUUUGCUACAAUGUGCAAGUCUGCGGCCCCAAUAUUUCUCCUUCUGUUUGCAUUUGCAUUUAGGUUGGAGAGUCCCAGUAUUAAGCUUCUAGGUAUCAUCCUUAUCAUUUCCAUAGGAGUUCUACUAACAGUUGCCAAGGAGACAGAGUUCAAUAUCUGGGGAUUUGUUUUUGUUAUGCUUGCUGCUGUUAUGUCAGGCUUUCGCUGGUGCAUGACUCAGAUUCUUUUGCAGAAAGAGGCCUAUGGUCUAAAGGAUCCAAUUGCUCUGAUGAGCUAUGUUACCCCUGUGAUGGCAGUAGCUACAGCGAUCCUAUCUCUUAUUAUGGAUCCGUGGCAUAGCUUCAGGACAAAUAAAUACUUUGAUAGUUCAAAGCAUGUAAUAUUGAGUUGCCUGUUACUGCUUUUGGGAGGUUUCUUGGCAUUUUUCAUGGUUUUAACUGAAUAUUUUCUUGUUUCGGCAACCAGUGCAGUAACAAUAACAAUAGCUGGCAUUGUUAAAGAAGCUGUCACAAUUUUGGUUGCAGUUCUAUAUUUUCAUGAUCAAUUUACCUUGCUAAAGGGAAUUGGACUCCUCACGAUAAUGGUUGGGGUUAGUUUAUUCAACUGGUACAAAUAUCAAAAGCUGAAAAAGAGUUGGCCUAGCAAAACUGAAGAUACAAAUCCUCCCCUUCCCAACGUAGCUGCAAAGUACGUUAUCAUUGAUGAUGUUGAUUUUCAUGAUGAAGAAACUUGAUUUUUUGGCAUCAUAUGCAACAGUUCUUAACUGCUGCUUCAAUUUCCGUGAUGUGCGACCACCUUCUGAAUAGUUCCAUCAGCGCCUGCUCUCCCCACGACUUAAUAAUCUCUCACAAAGGCCGUGGUUCCUCAAAACAACAUCCUGGGAGUUAGGAUAAGCUAUUGACAGGGUGAUAAGUGGUUCUUCCUAGACUCACACAAAUCUGUCAGCUUGGACUGCGAGCUUAGAUGGCACACUCAUAGUUCGCACACUGGAUUGACUUCUCAGUUAUCACACAUGCAACCUCAUGCAUUCUGGUGGCUCUGGAAUCCUACCAUUCAUCUACCAGAGCACCCUUCAGUGCCGUGCCAAAAGGUGACUUACCAUACAAGCUCAUCCUUAUCUUGAAUUACAAUUAAAAUGAACAACCGGGAGCAAAAAUGUCUCCCCAAAAGUAUCCUUGUGCCAUUGGAACUAAAUUUCUCAUUCAUGUAUUUUAAGCAUAGGAUUUUGGAGGUCGCAUGCAAAUUGGUUAAAUUUUAAAUCACGUGUUUUUCUUUUUGGGUAAUCAUUUAUUAUGAGAUUUCUUAUACCUGUUAGUUGACUCCUGAUUACAUGUGAAGAUGUACAGAAUUUGUAUAAUUAUGACAUCAAAGCCUGCAAUCAAGUGGGGCUUGGCCCCUUAUAUA